AGUUUAGUUCUCCAUGGAAGAUGACGGCUGCUCUAGGGUUUGAAUAUUUCAUGAACAGUGAAUGAUAACCCUAGCUGCCUUUUUUCGGUUUAAAUAAUACAUGGAACGGGCCUCAAAACAAUUGGGCCGAAAAAUAUAAAGUUGUGCUGAAUUAAAUUCGUCUGGAACAUAAACGCAAUUAUUUGACACACUUGCGCUCCGAACUGGGUUUUGACCUCAACAAGAAAGUCGUAGCUCUUGAUCUCAGCUUUCCAACGCAUCUUCCUGCGCCUCAAUCCGAUAUUUGUAACUCC
Molecule: long non-coding RNA, 293 nt
Filed under: Trifolium pratense (red clover)
Lineage: Eukaryota; Viridiplantae; Streptophyta; Magnoliopsida; Fabales; Fabaceae
Description: long non-coding RNA (TPRA_LNC014165)
Source: RNAcentral